RNAcentral lists this ribosomal RNA (433 nucleotides) under uncultured bacterium. RNAcentral describes it as "partial 16S ribosomal RNA". It matches the Rfam family "Bacterial small subunit ribosomal RNA", at positions 29 to 507 of the family's 1533-position model. The record is from RNAcentral.
AGCGAACGCUGGCGGCAGGCCUAACACAUGCAAGUCGAACGAACUCUUCGGAGUUAGUGGCGGACGGGUGAGUAACACGUGGGAACGUGCCUUUUGGUUCGGAAUAACUCAGGGAAACUUGUGCUAAUACCGAAUGUGCCCUUCGGGGGAAAGAUUUAUCGCCAUUAGAGCGGCCCGCGUCUGAUUAGCUAGUUGGUGAGGUAACGGCUCACCAAGGCGACGAUCAGUAGCUGGUCUGAGAGGAUGACCAGCCACACUGGGACUGAGACACGGCCCAGACUCCUACGGGAGGCAGGAGUGGGGAAUCUUGCGCAACGGGCGAAAGCCUGACGCAGCCAGGCCGCGUGAAUGAUGAAGGUCUUAGGAUUGUAAAAUUCUUUCACCGGGGACGAUAAUGACGGUACCCGGAGAAGAAGCCCCGGCUAACUUCGUG